AAGGCUUUAGCUUAAUUAAAGUCCUUGAUUUGCAUUCAAGAGAUGUGGGAUAGUGUCCCGCAAGCCUUA
This 69-nucleotide transfer RNA is filed under the name Parioglossus dotui. Its description in RNAcentral is "tRNA-Ala". It matches the Rfam family "tRNA". From Rfam's summary of the family: Transfer RNA (tRNA) molecules are approximately 80 nucleotides in length. Their secondary structure includes four short double-helical elements and three loops (D, anti-codon, and T loops). Lineage: Eukaryota; Metazoa; Chordata; Actinopteri; Gobiiformes; Gobiidae. The record is from RNAcentral.